Molecule: long non-coding RNA, 3856 nt
Filed under: Anas platyrhynchos platyrhynchos (common mallard)
Lineage: Eukaryota; Metazoa; Chordata; Aves; Anseriformes; Anatidae
Description: lncRNA (ENSAPLG00000022912.1)
Source: RNAcentral
AAAUCACACUUCCCUGCCAGGCACGCUCACCGCCUGUCUCUGGGCUAUUUUUGCCGCAUCCUUUUGGAGGCACAGCAGCCGGAACGGAGCACGGCGACUUCAGCACUCAAAGGCAGACCGUGAGCUUUAAUGGAGCUGCUGGCAUUAUAAUAUUCGCGCUCGCCUUCCCCAUUGCUUUCCUAAUAUAGCCCGACACCGACCGGGAUUUUCAACUGUGGCGGCGCGCGGAGCAGCUCCCUGCUGUCCUGUCACCCCUGACCUGGCAGGGACGCGCACACGAGUGGCGGGAGCAGAGCGAGGCGAUGCGUGGUGCCGUGGCACGGCUUGCCCUCGACGUUCUUCAUCCCCCCGGGCGCUGGAGCAGCGUGGAGCUGAUAGAAAGCAGAUAGCAAGCUGCCUUUCAUUAGGGAGCAGUCUCGCAGGAGCGCCGGCUCCCACCACGGGGCCCCGCUCGCACCCAGCGGGCUGCGACGCCGGCGGCUGUGCCGCGCUCCCCAGGCAGGCACCGGGCGGCGUUCCCCGGAGCAUCCCACGGCACCUUCGUGGCACUGGCUGCAUCCUGCUGGGGACGGGGUGACAGCCACGGCAGGCUGAGGUCCUGCACACAGGUUGGUGCCACCUGGAGAAGCCCACAAGGGACCCGGUGCUCGUGGCUGAGCGUGCCGGGGCCGUCCCACCUGGCCGCAGCUCCGCGGCCUCCCGCUUCCUGCGCUCCCCCCGCCACCCUCCUCGGCACGGCUGGGGCCUCGCAGCUACAACCAGGAAACUAUAAAACUUUACAGAGUGCGGCUGGAGAGAAACAGGAAUUGCUGCAGUAACUGCCAGAAGGGCCAGCGUUAGAUUCACAAGAUUUUCCAGGGCUUGGACUCGCCAGGAAGGGAUUUAUCCACCUAGGAGGAGCUGUAAAAACUAAAAUUAAAUUCUUCAUCUCGGAGAGGGAGGGGGGAGAGAGAAGAAAAUGCUUGACCUCCCUCCUGAAUGCUCUGCUGGAGGCCAAGGGGCUGAGGGGGACGCGGGGCAUCAGCAGCUGCACCUGCAGCACCCUGGGGGUCUGCCCCCAAACCCUGCGUGGGGGUGCUGUGCGUCCCGGACCCUCCGGUCCUUUGCCUUUAGGAUACCAUCGGGGGGCUCUGCAGGUGCCAAGCAAGCCCUGGACUCGCAGCCUCCAGUUGGGGAAGCGGCCGGGAGAAGCCAGGCUCCUGACACGCGGAGGCAAAGAUCAAACGGCGCUCGCUUGGCAACCUCCAGCCCUGUGCCAGGGGACAGAGGGGUGUCCUGUGCUCAUCCAUCCAGGUUGGGGAGCCGAACCCAUGUGCUGAGUGCUGGGGAACCCACACCCAACAAAGUUCGUGCAGAACCACCCUGCCCGAGAGCCCGUCUGCUCCGUGCGGACACCCCGGUGCCACGCUGCUGGCCGGCCCUCCCCAGGGCUGAUGCACUGGAUUUGAUUUGCAUCGUUUUCCUUUUAUCUGAGUGUAUUUUCUUCCCCCCACUGCCUGCCACAGAUUUUACACUGAACGCAGCAGAGCACUGCUGUGAAAGUAUGUAUGGGGAGCGCUCUUUUGUCGCUUAUUCUGGUUUUCUUUCUUUCUUUUUUUUUUUUCUCCUUCUUUUUUGCCCAUUACUGCCAGUGCAGGCUCUUAAAAUAACUAGCUACUUUAACCCGCGUCCCUUUGUUCCCUGCCCGAGCACGGCUGGGUGCCGUCUUGCGAGGGAGGGAGGUGAAGUGUCAGGGCCCCGCGGAGAGCUUGAAAGGAGCUUUGUGGUGGGGGGGGACAGGGUGCUGCGCCCCGAGCCCCUGCGUCCCCUGGUGCGCCCCGCUCCCUCCAUCCAGGCUGUGGGGUUCCCUGGGGAGAUUUGGGAUGGAGGCCACGUGGCUGCCUUGACCCCAGUGUGGGAAAGGGCAACGGCGAAGCAGGUCGGGGGCUGGAUCCAGCCCCGUUGGGAAGCGAUGGCAAAGCCUGGGCUCAGCCCUGCCCAGCCAAAAACGGGGGAAGAAGACGCAACCCCAUCAGGAUGGGCUCCUUGGCACCUCCCCAAGCAAUGUGGGGGAGCCCGGCCCCCUGCAUCCUCACAGUGCUCCUAGGGAGGCAGCAGCAGGGGGAUCCCUUUGGCCAGAGGGGGACUGGGGUGCGCCUGGCGGGGCGCUGCCAGCGGGCUGGGCUCCACCGCCCGCAGGGAGCUGGGGCUGGGCUGGAGCCCGGCUUGGAAGCGUUAAGUCGGAGGCCCGUGCCGUGCCCGGGCACGUCCCCGCUUUGUUUAUUCCUUCGGCUUAUUAUUUUGUUCAACUAUUUAUUCCUGGCUGCCUUUUUCUCACGGUUGCUGUGUUUAUUUAGCGCAGCUCGCCUGGAGCCCUCCGGCUCCUCGCGCUGCUGCUGAGCGCAGCCACAACCCCAGUGCAGCAAGUGCAGCCCCGGGAGCCCCGUGCUGAGGUUUCCCAAACAUUGAGUCCACGCUGCACGCAGGGGUGAGCUGGUUUAUCGAGAGGACAGCGGGCAGGGGGUGGCAGCAUGCAGGGCAGGGCUCGUGUGUGCCCCGUGCCACCAACACAAGGUGUGCCUGCCCACCGCCACGACCUGCGGGGCCAGGGGGGCUGCACAGAGCACAGAAACCCCAGGCAGAAAGGAGACAAGUUUGGGAAGUGGCCCACAAAGUGAUGCCAUCACCCUGCCAUGAGUGAUGCUGCCAGGGGACCCCAUCCCCGCCAGCCCGCCAAGCUGCUGGGUGGUCACCGAGCCUGUCCCUGGUGGCACCAAGGAGCCCCCAGCCCUCGGCCUGGCCAUGGCUCACCCCGGUGGUCCCAAGCCCUGUGGAGCAUCCCUGUGCCGGGGCAGCCCCUGGGGACCCGAAGCGCCGGGGCCGGGGAGCCAUGGCAACCCGGCGAGGAUGGGGGUUGCCAUGGUGACGGGAGGCGCAGCAUCCGGAGCGGCUUCGGGCGAGGGAUGCUCCAGGUGGGAUGCGAGGCAGGGCCGGGUACCCCCAGGGCUGGUGUGGGGAGGGAAAGGGGUGACACUGUGGGUGUGGGGCUCAGGAAGCCCCCCCUGCCCCACAGGCUGCCCCUGGCCCCAAAUCACCUUGGGAGCAGGGGGCUGAGGGGGUCCUGAGGCAGGGCUGGGAGCCUUCCCUGGCAGCAGGGAAGGGGCGAGGGGAGAGAGGAGGGAAGCGACCUCCCAGCUGGGUGUGACAUUUGCCAGAUGCUGAUGCUGCGUUUGAUAGCGGGGGGCACGCUGCUGCCCACAGGCACCCACAUUUCGCACACCCCCUGGCAGCUGGGGCUGGGCCCCCACCCCGCAGCCUUCUCCCCUGGGUCCCCCGGUGCUGUGCUGGAGGAGCCACACAAGGCCUGGUGGCUCCUUUCCCUUUCACACCUGGUGUGCAGAGCAGCAGGGAGGGGGCACAGGGAACCAACACAAUAUUUAUUUUUUUCUGCUGUAGCAUUUCCCAGCACCACCAUACAGAAGGGGACAGCGGCACCGGGAACCCCGCAGCGUGCGCCCCACGGCUCUGCGCGGCCCCAUUAUGCACCAACCCUGCUGGGACUUCCCAAGGGCUCAUCCUCCGCACGGCGCCCAGCUCCGGAGCCAGGUUGGCAGCCCCCCUUCCUCCCCGUGAUGCUCCCAGCCCUUGGAGGGCUCAGCCCUUUUCCCCCUGUGCAGGAAAUGUGGCGGGGCUGUGCCGCCAGCGUGUGCCGGCGAAGCGGGCUCGCGAGCGCUCGCAGCGAUUCCAACGCCCGGAGCUUGCGGCUGGGCUUCGCCUCCUAAGCCUGCUUCCAACUCCUUGCGCGGGGAGCAGCGAUUUGUCUGCAAAUGUAUGCGGUUAAAAUAAACGCCGAGAAUUUUAAUCCUGGGAAUUUGGA